UAGCCUACGGGGGGCAGCAGUGAGGAAUAUUGGUCAAUGGGCGAGAGCCUGAACCAGCCAAGUCGCGUGAGGGAAGACGGUCCUAUGGAUUGUAAACCUCUUUUGCCGGGGAGCAAAAAGCGGUACGUGUACCGCAUCGAGAGUACCCGGAGAAAAAGCAUCGGCUAACUCCGUGCCAGCAGCCGCGGUAAUACGGAGGAUGCGAGCGUUAUCCGGAUUUAUUGGGUUUAAAGGGUGCGCAGGCGGGAGAUCAAGUCAGCGGUAAAAUCGUGGGGCCCAACCCCAUCCCGCCGUUGAAACUGGCG
This 305-nucleotide ribosomal RNA is filed under the name uncultured bacterium. RNAcentral describes it as "bacterial SSU rRNA". It matches the Rfam family "Bacterial small subunit ribosomal RNA", at positions 335 to 638 of the family's 1533-position model. The record is from RNAcentral.